This 241-nucleotide ribosomal RNA is filed under the name Staphylococcus aureus. Its description in RNAcentral is "partial 23S ribosomal RNA". It matches the Rfam family "Bacterial large subunit ribosomal RNA", at positions 2185 to 2425 of the family's 2925-position model. The record is from RNAcentral. Lineage: Bacteria; Bacillati; Bacillota; Bacilli; Caryophanales; Staphylococcaceae.
GGCGCUGGUGGGAUACUACCCUAGCUGUGUUGGCUUUCUAACCCGCACCACUUAUCGUGGUGGGAGACAGUGUCAGGCGGGCAGUUUGACUGGGGCGGUCGCCUCCUAAAAGGUAACGGAGGCGCUCCAAGGUUCCCUCAGAAUGGGUGGAAAUCAUUCAUAGAGUGUAAAGGCAUAAGGGAGCUUGACUGCGAGACCUACAAGUCGAGCAGGGUCGAAAGACGGACUUAGUGAUCCGGUG